AACGAACGCUGGUGGCGUGCUUAACACAUGCAAGUCGAACGAGAAAAUUUCCUUCGGGAGACUAGUAAAGUGGCGCAAGGGUGAGUAACACGUGAAUAAUCUGCCCUCGAGAUCGGGAUAACAUGGUGAAAACUAUGCUAAUACCGGAUAAGACCACAUUUCAAAAGAAAUGCGGGAAAAGAAGUCUCAAUCUUCACUCGAGGAUGAGUUCGCGCAACAUUAGCUUGUUGGUGGGAUAAAAGCUCACCAAGGCUACGAUGUUUAGCCGGCCUGAGAGGGUGAACGGCCACACUGGAACUGAGACACGGUCCAGACUCCUACGGGAGGCAGCAGUGGGGAAUUUUCCGCAAUGGACGAAAGUCUGACGGAGCAACGCCGCGUGAGGGAUG
Molecule: ribosomal RNA, 389 nt
Filed under: uncultured Nitrospina sp.
Lineage: Bacteria; Pseudomonadati; Nitrospinota; Nitrospinia; Nitrospinales; Nitrospinaceae
Description: bacterial SSU rRNA
Rfam family: Bacterial small subunit ribosomal RNA
Source: RNAcentral